RNAcentral lists this non-coding RNA (777 nucleotides) under Cheirotonus jansoni. RNAcentral's name for it is "12S ribosomal RNA". The stretch from base 372 to 771 matches the Rfam family "Microsporidia small subunit ribosomal RNA", at positions 752 to 1304 of the family's 1311-position model. The record is from RNAcentral. Lineage: Eukaryota; Metazoa; Arthropoda; Insecta; Coleoptera; Scarabaeidae.
AAUAAAGUUUUAUUUUGGCUUAAUAGUUUAGUUUUUUUUGGUUUUACAUGUAAGUUUAAGCAGUUUUAGUGGGUUUAAAUAGGCCAUUAUUUUUCUGGUUGCAGUAUAGAAGCUUAGAUAUUAAGGAAUUUUAGAUCUAGUUAUUAAAAAUAGUACUGGCUAAGCUUGUGCCAGCAGCCGCGGUUAUACAAGCAGUGCAAUUAAAUUUUAUUUGGUAUAUAGUAAGUAAUAUUAAUUUGUUUUAAAUAAGGACUUAUUAGGUGAAAUUUUAAGUUUUAUUAAGGACAUGAUGAGAUUUAUGAGUCUAUGAAAUUUUUGGUUUAGACUAGGAUUAGAUACCCUAUUAUUGGAAACGUAAAUUUUGAGUGCCUGAAUAGUAUUAGUUAUGUUCUUGAAAAUUAAAAAAUUUGGCGGUAUUUUAGUCUUUUCAGAGGAACCUGUCCUAUAAUUGAUGGUCCACGAUUAAUUGUACUUGUUCUUAGUUUGUAUAUCGUCGUAGGUUGAAUGUUUUUUAAGAAUAUUAAAUGUUCAAGAUUUUUAAUGGGAAUGGAAGUCAGAUCAAGAUACAGCGGAUGAACAAGAAGAGAUGGGUUACAAUAAAUUUAUUUAUAUGGUUGAGGCAGCUAACACUGUUUUUUAAAGUGGAUUUGAAAGUAAUAUGGUUGAGUUUAACUGUGUGAUUUGAGCUCUAAAAUAUGCACAUAUCGCCCGUCGCUCCCGUAUAAGGCGGGAUAAGUCGUAACAGAGUAGGCGUACCGGAAGGUGUGCCUAGAAUGG